GACGAAGGUGGCUAGCGUUAUUCGGUGUCACUGGGCUUAAAGCGUAUGUAGGCGGAAAGAUAAGCGUUUUGUGAAAUCCCUCAGCUUAACUGAGGAAUUGCUUGACGAACUAUCUUUCUUGAGGCAAGUAGGGGUGCAUGGAACUCUUGGUGGAGCGGUGGAAUGCGUAGAUAUCAAGAGGAACGCCAAGGGAGAAAUCAGUGCACUGGGCUUGUCCUGACGCUCAGAUACGAAAGCGUGGGUAGCGAACGGG
Molecule: ribosomal RNA, 253 nt
Filed under: uncultured bacterium
Lineage: Bacteria
Description: partial 16S ribosomal RNA
Rfam family: Bacterial small subunit ribosomal RNA
Source: RNAcentral